UACGUAGGGGGCUAGCGUUGUCCGGAUUUAUUGGGCGUAAAGAGCGUGUAGGCGGCCAGGUGGGUCCGGUGUGAAAACUCGAGGCUUAACCUCGAGAUGUCAUCGGAAACCAUCUGGCUAGAGUCCGGAAGAGGAAAGUGGAAUUCCUGGUGUAGCGGUGAAAUGCGCAGAUAUCAGGAAGAACACCAAUGGCGAAAGCAGCUUUCUGGGACGGUACUGACGCUGAGACGCGAAAGCGUGGGGAGCGAACAGG
Molecule: ribosomal RNA, 253 nt
Filed under: uncultured bacterium
Lineage: Bacteria
Description: partial 16S ribosomal RNA
Rfam family: Bacterial small subunit ribosomal RNA
Source: RNAcentral